Molecule: ribosomal RNA, 243 nt
Filed under: uncultured bacterium
Lineage: Bacteria
Description: partial 16S ribosomal RNA
Rfam family: Bacterial small subunit ribosomal RNA
Source: RNAcentral
UGGCGACCGGCGCACGGGUGAGUAAGCGUAUGCAACCUGCCCGAUACCGGGGUAUAGCCCAUGGAAACGUGGAUUAACACCCCAUAGUACUUUUAUCCUGCAUGGGAUGUGAGUUAAAUGUUCAAGGUAUCGGAUGGGCAUGCGUCCUAUUAGUUAGUUGGCGGGGUAACAGCCCACCAAGACGAUGAUAGGUAGGGGUUCUGAGAGGAAGGUCCCCCACAUUGGAACUGAGACACGGUCCAA